Molecule: ribosomal RNA, 441 nt
Filed under: uncultured bacterium
Lineage: Bacteria
Description: partial 16S ribosomal RNA
Rfam family: Bacterial small subunit ribosomal RNA
Source: RNAcentral
CCUACGGGUGGCAGCAGUGGGGAAUAUUGCACAAUGGGGGGAACCCUGAUGCAGCGACGCCGCGUGGGUGAAGGAGUAUUUCGGGAUGUAAAGCCCUAUCAGCAGGGAAGAACAAUGACGGUACCUUACCGAGAAGCACCGGCUAAAUACGGGCCAGCAGCCGCGGUAAUACGCAUGGUGCAAGCGUUAUCCGGAUUUACUGGGUGUAAAGGGAGCGCAGGCGGCGCGUUAAGCCUGGUGUGAAAGCCCGCGGCCCAACCGCGGGACUGCAUUGGAAACUGGCGCGCUGGAGUGCCGGAGGGGUAGGCGGAAUUCGUGGUGUAGCGGUGAAAUGCGUAGAUAUUAGGAGGAACACCAGUGGCGAAGGCGGUCUGCUGGACAGCAACUGACGGUGAGGCGCGAAAGCGUGGGGAGCAAACAGGAUUAGAUACCCGUGUAGUC